UUUUGUAAGGCUGAUUAAGCCAUACUUAAAAGUCAGAUCCUUACCACUGAUGCACUGAACUAUGCCUACCUGGGAAAAUCUUUCCUGCCAUGGAAUCAGUCCCCACAGAGCUUGAAUAAAACACACCAAUUUCUGAGCUGGUUUAGUGCUUGCAUAUGCUCCUAACGACUUGUCUGCUACACUGAUUUGUAGGGAUUUAACCUAUCCAUGAAAAUUAGGUGCUAGUGUCUGUUGCCUUCAGCUGAGAAAGCAUGAGAAGAAGUCCUAUGCUUCUGAAACAAAGCCUUUGGUUUUUAAUAAGAUGAAGUUUUAUAAAAGAAAAACAUAAAAUGAAUAAAAUACAGCUAUAGAAUAUAUCCAAUAUAAAUUUCUUGUUCUGCUGCUGCCAAGGUAAUUCUUUUUCAGGGAGUGUCUUGAAUAUUCCCUUCUAGGAUUGGAUCCCUUACUUUGCUUUUUCUUUCUAGUUUACACCCACGUGUCUGGUUGCCUCUGGCUGCAGAGGAAAGUUCAAAGCACUUAUGAAGCAGCUAUUUAUUUCUCUGUAAAUUUAGGGGUCUUUGUUUUGUAGCAUCGUUGGUAGCUACCUGGCAUAGGGAAGAAUCAGGCUAUCUGAUGGCAGUUUUUUUGAUGGGUACAACAGGCCGUGGCUUGCUAAUUCACUGGCCUCCUUGCCAGUAGGCUGUGGAAUGAGCUACGCUCAGAAGUGAGCAUGGUCUCAUUCUGCAGGCUGUAUACUAAAUACAAUUUGUUCUUUCAUUUGGGUUUUGGACAUUCUUCGGAGACCAUCUGUAGCAAAAUACACUCUGCUAAUUUUGGGGUUGUUGUGGUGAUAUUUCUUUUUGUAUAAUACCCUUCCACUUUUUAAUGGAAGAAGUUUUGAAACAGUCUGGAUAUUUCAGUGAAUCCAAUGGAAGAUCCCAAAGGAGGGCAAUGGAUUCCUUGGAUCUGAAUAGGCUACCGUCAGCAUUUCCAGGAAGGUGUUAGAACCAGAAAACCAGAUGCUUUCACAAGUGUGGAGGGGAGGAAGGAAGGAGAAGGGGCUUCAAAAUUGUCACAUUUAUGUAUCUUCCUCUGAAUCCACUCAAGACUACUGGCCGUUCCAAGCACAAGUAGUAUCCUCUCACUCCAUUUACACCCCGAGCCCCAGUACUUUAUCAUCUUUGAGGUAAGGAUGGCAUGUUUCCAAAGUAAUUCCUGCUCAUUUGACAUAUGUGAUUUCUGUUUGUUAAAUUGUUUGUUUGUUUCCUAUUUGAUCUUCCUCUUAACCUCAUGUCAAAAUUUAGACGUUUUCUGAAUCACAUCCUAACAAAAAUCUUGAGUACGAAUGUUUCAAGGUGGCAUCCCUCUGGAACUGUGAUGUUGCUUUUAAUCAUCCCUCUUCUUACAAACAUACAUAUGACAUGGAGAUAAGAGAGUUCCCCACUGCCAGCCUUGUUUGGGUAUUCAAGCUUGAAUCGUGACC
This is a long non-coding RNA of Gallus gallus (chicken), 1462 nucleotides long. RefSeq lists it as uncharacterized. The record is from RefSeq and is a predicted model, not a curated record. The transcript has 4 exons. NCBI's taxonomy places the organism in Eukaryota, Metazoa, Chordata, Aves, Galliformes, Phasianidae.